GCUAUACAUGCAAGUCGAGCGAAUGGAUUAAGAGCUUGCUCUUAUGAAGUUAGCGGCGGACGGGUGAGUAACACGUGGGUAACCUGCCCAUAAGACUGGGAUAACUCCGGGAAACCGGGGCUAAUACCGGAUAACAUUUUGAACCGCAUGGUUCGAAAUUGAAAGGCGGCUUCGGCUGUCACUUAUGGAUGGACCCGCGUCGCAUUAGCUAGUUGGUGAGGUAACGGCUCACCAAGGCAACGAUGCGUAGCCGACCUGAGAGGGUGAUCGGCCACACUGGGACUGAGACACGGCCCAGACUCCUACGGGAGGCAGCAGUAGGGAAUCUUCCGCAAUGGACGAAAGUCUGACGGAGCAACGCCGCGUGAGUGAUGAAGGCUUUCGGGUCGUAAAACUCUGUUGUUAGGGAAGAACAAGUGCUAGUUGAAUAAGCUGGCACCUUGACGGUACCUAACCAGAAAGCCACGGCUAACUACGUGCCAGCAGCCGCGGUAAUACGUAGGUGGCAAGCGUUAUCCGGAAUUAUUGGGCGUAAAGCGCGCGCAGGUGGUUUCUUAAGUCUGAUGUGAAAGCCCACGGCUCAACCGUGGAGGGUCAUUGGAAACUGGGAGACUUGAGUGCAGAAGAGGAAAGUGGAAUUCCAUGUGUAGCGGUGAAAUGCGUAGAGAUAUGGAGGAACACCAGUGGCGAAGGCGACUUUCUGGUCUGUAACUGACACUGAGGCGCGAAAGCGUG
This 735-nucleotide ribosomal RNA is filed under the name Bacillus anthracis (anthrax bacterium). RNAcentral's name for it is "bacterial SSU rRNA". It matches the Rfam family "Bacterial small subunit ribosomal RNA", at positions 48 to 763 of the family's 1533-position model. RNAcentral also lists the same sequence under 1 other name. The record is from RNAcentral. Lineage: Bacteria; Bacillati; Bacillota; Bacilli; Caryophanales; Bacillaceae.